AUUGGUGGAAACUGGCUAUUUUGUCCAAGGUCACGGACGGGAUGGGAGCGAGGAACGGAAAACCGUCGAUGUUACUCGGGGUAAGUGAAGAAGGAAAGUGCGCAUCGUCGCCACGCGAUGUAGCUGCGACUCACGUCAAUGGAAUUCCAACUUUGCUAAAAACGCGAGUCAUGCAGUUCAUGCAGCGAUGUGCUGGUAGAGUGGCGUAGCCUCCUGAGCCGGCCAACUUGGUUCACACCGCUCGUGGCUCUAUAAGUCCACCAUCGUUAAUAAGUCAGCCUAUAUUUUCUGCCAACAGGCUUUACAUAGCUUUUUGUUUUGUUUUGUUUUGUUUUUUGUUUUUUAGUUUGUUGUUGUUUUUGUUGUUUUUUGGUUGAAGGAUUUGUUGUCUUAAACGUGAUAUCGCUUGAUCCUUGGUUUGAAAGCGCCGAUAUUAGUAUUUGUUUGUUCGGCUAAACCAUGGAGGUAGAAAUCUAUUUCUACUACUAAACUAACCGAUUCACGACUUGGGAUUUUAUGAUUACAGUUACUGGCUUCGCCACAGUGAGACAUAACUGAUAUAAUUAUUUUAUUACAGGUUACUAGGAAAGGACACUUUUGAACGAAUUCUUUGUAUGCAAUGAAAUCCUUCUUUCUUUGAAAUCAACGUGACUCAGACAUGCGUGUUAUAUGGUGUAGACUCAUAGGCGUGCUCACCAUCAGUUAUCAAUUAUUAUAGACAGAGGACCUGUUAUAUAUAGCUAUACCCCCACAAUUGAAAAAACAUUCUUGCAAGAGCCUUGGCUAAUUUUUAUAGGCAAUCACAUAGGCCUACAUGCCUUUGGGGCUCUGCGUGCAAGGUUGUGUGCUUCCUUCGCUGAGAGAUCAAUGUAAACUUCACACUGUAGCAUCGCCAGGUACGAGCGUCGGCUAUCGAUGGGGGCCUGAUUAUGCGAAUCGACGAAAUACCUUUAAGGGUGCAAUGCGUCUUACUACCCCGCUGCAUCGUGACAUGCGCACCAGCCGGCCUGCAGCAGUAUCCCGACCGCCACCAAAAAGGCAAAAUGCAAUCCUGCAUUGACUGAGCGUUCGUGUGAGCAGUUUUAGUCACCAAAGAAAUGAUGUCUUACCCCGCACUGCAGAGCUGACAGAAUGAUUAGAACAUGGAGGGCCUAAACACCAGUCGACAAAAUUACACAACAUCUGCACUGCCACCUCCCCCCCCCCACGGUGCAUCUUAUCUGCC
Molecule: long non-coding RNA, 1225 nt
Organism: Acanthaster planci (crown-of-thorns starfish)
Lineage: Eukaryota; Metazoa; Echinodermata; Asteroidea; Valvatida; Acanthasteridae
Source: RefSeq, a predicted model, not a curated record